UGGUUUGUCGCGUUGUUCGUGAAAUCUCACGGCUUAACUGUGAGCGUGCGGGCGAUACGGGCAGACUUGAGUACUGCAGGGGAGGCUGGAAUUCCUGGUGUAGCGGUGGAAUGCGCAGAUAUCAGGAGGAACACCGGUGGCGAAGGCGGGUCUCUGGGCAGUAACUGACGCUGAGGAGCGAAAGCGUGGGGAGCGAACAGGAUUAGAUACCCUGGUAGUCCACGCCGUAAACGGUGGGUACUAGGUGUGGGUUUCCUUCCUUGGGAUCCGUGCCGUAGCUAACGCAUUAAGUACCCCGCCUGGGGAGUACGGCCGCAAGGCUAAAACUCAAAGAAAUUGACGGGGGCCCGCACAAGCGGCGGAGCAUGUGGAUUAAUUCGAUGCAACGCGAAGAACCUUGCCUGGGUUUGACAUGCACAGGACGCCGGCAGAGAUGUCGGUUCCCUUGUGGCCUGUGUGCAGGUGGUGCAUGGCUGUCGUCAGCUCGUGUCGUGAGAUGUUGGGUUAAGUCCCGCAACGAGCGCAACCCUUGUCUCAUGUUGCCAGCGGGUAAUGCCGGGGACUCGUGAGAGACUGCCGGGGUCAACUCGGAGGAAGGUGGGGAUGACGUCAAGUCAUCAUGCCCCUUAUGUCCAGGGCUUCACACAUGCUACAAUGGCCGGUACAAAGGGCUGCGAUGCCGCGAGGUUAAGCGAAUCCUUUUAAAGCCGGUCUCAGUUCGGAUCGGGGUCUGCAACUCGACCCCGUGAAGUCGGA
RNAcentral lists this ribosomal RNA (756 nucleotides) under uncultured bacterium. RNAcentral's name for it is "bacterial SSU rRNA". It matches the Rfam family "Bacterial small subunit ribosomal RNA", at positions 576 to 1330 of the family's 1533-position model. The record is from RNAcentral.